GAUGAACGCUGGCGGCGUGCCUAAUACAUGCAAGUCGAACGCUUCACAUAUGUGAAGAGUGGCGAACGGGUGAGUAAUACAUAAGUAACCUGGCCUUUACAGGGGGAUAACUAUUGGAAACGAUAGCUAAGACCGCAUAGGUGUGCAGAUCGCAUGAAGUGCACAUGAAAUAUGCUACGGCAUAGGUAGGGGAUGGACUUAUGGCGCAUUAGCUAGUUGGAGGGGUAACGGCCCACCAAGGCGACGAUGCGUAGCCGACCUGAGAGGGUGACCGGCCACACUGGGACUGAGACACGGCCCAGACUCCUACGGGAGGCAGCAGUAGGGAAUUUUCGGCAAUGGGGGAAACCCUGACCGAGCAACGCCGCGUGAAGGAAGAAGUAAUUCGUUAUGUAAACUUCUGUCAUAGAGGAAGAACGGUGCGUGUAGGGAAUGACAUGCAAGUGACGGUACUCUAUAAGAAAGCCACGGCUAACUACGUGCCAGCCGCCGCCGUAA
This 498-nucleotide ribosomal RNA is filed under the name uncultured bacterium. RNAcentral describes it as "partial 16S ribosomal RNA". It matches the Rfam family "Bacterial small subunit ribosomal RNA", at positions 28 to 523 of the family's 1533-position model. The record is from RNAcentral.